Molecule: ribosomal RNA, 1592 nt
Filed under: Lactiplantibacillus pentosus
Lineage: Bacteria; Bacillati; Bacillota; Bacilli; Lactobacillales; Lactobacillaceae
Description: bacterial SSU rRNA
Rfam family: Bacterial small subunit ribosomal RNA
Source: RNAcentral
UUUAUUCGCUCAGGACGAACGCUGGCGGCGUGCCUAAUACAUGCAAGUCGAACGAACUCUGGUAUUGAUUGGUGCUUGCAUCAUGAUUUACAUUUGAGUGAGUGGCGAACUGGUGAGUAACACGUGGGAAACCUGCCCAGAAGCGGGGGAUAACACCUGGAAACAGAUGCUAAUACCGCAUAACAACUUGGACCGCAUGGUCCGAGUUUGAAAGAUGGCUUCGGCUAUCACUUUUGGAUGGUCCCGCGGCGUAUUAGCUAGAUGGUGAGGUAACGGCUCACCAUGGCAAUGAUACGUAGCCGACCUGAGAGGGUAAUCGGCCACAUUGGGACUGAGACACGGCCCAAACUCCUACGGGAGGCAGCAGUAGGGAAUCUUCCACAAUGGACGAAAGUCUGAUGGAGCAACGCCGCGUGAGUGAAGAAGGGUUUCGGCUCGUAAAACUCUGUUGUUAAAGAAGAACAUAUCUGAGAGUAACUGUUCAGGUAUUGACGGUAUUUAACCAGAAAGCCACGGCUAACUACGUGCCAGCAGCCGCGGUAAUACGUAGGUGGCAAGCGUUGUCCGGAUUUAUUGGGCGUAAAGCGAGCGCAGGCGGUUUUUUAAGUCUGAUGUGAAAGCCUUCGGCUCAACCGAAGAAGUGCAUCGGAAACUGGGAAACUUGAGUGCAGAAGAGGACAGUGGAACUCCAUGUGUAGCGGUGAAAUGCGUAGAUAUAUGGAAGAACACCAGUGGCGAAGGCGGCUGUCUGGUCUGUAACUGACGCUGAGGCUCGAAAGUAUGGGUAGCAAACAGGAUUAGAUACCCUGGUAGUCCAUACCGUAAACGAUGAAUGCUAAGUGUUGGAGGGUUUCCGCCCUUCAGUGCUGCAGCUAACGCAUUAAGCAUUCCGCCUGGGGAGUACGGCCGCAAGGCUGAAACUCAAAGGAAUUGACGGGGGCCCGCACAAGCGGUGGAGCAUGUGGUUUAAUUCGAAGCUACGCGAAGAACCUUACCAGGUCUUGACAUACUAUGCAAAUCUAAGAGAUUAGACGUUCCCUUCGGGGACAUGGAUACAGGUGGUGCAUGGUUGUCGUCAGCUCGUGUCGUGAGAUGUUGGGUUAAGUCCCGCAACGAGCGCAACCCUUAUUAUCAGUUGCCAGCAUUAAGUUGGGCACUCUGGUGAGACUGCCGGUGACAAACCGGAGGAAGGUGGGGAUGACGUCAAAUCAUCAUGCCCCUUAUGACCUGGGCUACACACGUGCUACAAUGGAUGGUACAACGAGUUGCGAACUCGCGAGAGUAAGCUAAUCUCUUAAAGCCAUUCUCAGUUCGGAUUGUAGGCUGCAACUCGCCUACAUGAAGUCGGAAUCGCUAGUAAUCGCGGAUCAGCAUGCCGCGGUGAAUACGUUCCCGGGCCUUGUACACACCGCCCGUCACACCAUGAGAGUUUGUAACACCCAAAGUCGGUGGGGUAACCUUUUAGGAACCAGCCGCCUAAGGUGGGACAGAUGAUUAGGGUGAAGUCGUAAGGGGAAACCCCCGAAAAAAGGUAACAAGGCAUCCGUGGCCCGGACUAGGUACUCUUACCACUUAUCUCCCCCGGUGCUCCC